ACGCUUAUAGUGUAAUUGGUAGCACUUAAGUCUCCAAAACUUAAGGUUAAGGUUCGAGUCCUUAUAAGCGUG
Molecule: transfer RNA, 72 nt
Filed under: Winogradskyella sp. PG-2
Lineage: Bacteria; Pseudomonadati; Bacteroidota; Flavobacteriia; Flavobacteriales; Flavobacteriaceae
Description: tRNA-Trp (CCA) (tRNA-Trp-CCA-2-1)
Rfam family: tRNA
About the family: Transfer RNA (tRNA) molecules are approximately 80 nucleotides in length. Their secondary structure includes four short double-helical elements and three loops (D, anti-codon, and T loops).
Source: Rfam by way of RNAcentral